UACGUAGGGUGCAAGCGUUAAUCGGAAUUACUGGGCGUAAAGCGUGCGCAGGCGGUUUUGCAAGACAGAUGUGAAAUCCCCGGGCUUAACCUGGGAACUGCAUUUGUGACUGCACGGCUAGAGUGUGUCAGAGGGGGGUAGAAUUCCGCGUGUAGCAGUGAAAUGCGUAGAUAUGUGGAGGAAUACCGAUGGCGAAGGCAGCCCCCUGGGAUAACACUGACGCUCAUGCACGAAAGCGUGGGGAGCAAACAGG
This 253-nucleotide ribosomal RNA is filed under the name uncultured bacterium. RNAcentral describes it as "partial 16S ribosomal RNA". It matches the Rfam family "Bacterial small subunit ribosomal RNA", at positions 524 to 776 of the family's 1533-position model. The record is from RNAcentral.